UCCUACAAGUAUCUCAAGCCUGAGGUGACCC
RNAcentral lists this non-coding RNA (31 nucleotides) under Rattus norvegicus (Norway rat). The record is from RNAcentral. Lineage: Eukaryota; Metazoa; Chordata; Mammalia; Rodentia; Muridae.